Molecule: non-coding RNA, 29 nt
Filed under: Rattus norvegicus (Norway rat)
Lineage: Eukaryota; Metazoa; Chordata; Mammalia; Rodentia; Muridae
Source: RNAcentral
UGAGGCUCUACAAAGCAUCGUGUCCGAGC